GAUGAACGCUGGCGGUAUGCCUUACACAUGCAAGUCGUACGAAGGUUUUUAACCUAAGUGGCGGACGGGUGAGUAACACGUGAGAAUUUGCCUUUAGGAGGGGGAUAACAGAGUGAAAACGCUGCUAAUACCCCAUAUGCUUUCGAGUGAAAUGGAUUUAUUCGCCUAAAGAGAAGCUCGCGGCUGAUUAGCUUGUUGGUAAGGUAAUGGCUUACCAAGGCGACGAUCAGUAUCUGGUUUGAGAGGACGAUCAGACACACUGGAACUGAGACACGGUCCAGACUCCUACGGGAGGCAGCAGUGGGGAAUUUUCCGCAAUGGGCGAAAGCCUGACGGAGCAAUACCGCGUGAGGGAUGACUGCCUAUGGGUUGUAAACCUCUUUUCUCAGGGAGGAAAUCAAUGACGUUACCUGAGGAAUAAGCAUCGGCUAACUCCGUGCCAGCAGCCGCGGUAAGACGGAGGAUGCAAGUGUUAUCCGGAAUCACUGGGCGUAAAGCGUCUGUAGGUGGCUUAACAAGUCAACUGUUAAAUCUUGAGGCUCAACUUCAAAAUCGCAGUCGAAACUAUUCAACUAGAGUAU
Molecule: ribosomal RNA, 581 nt
Filed under: uncultured bacterium
Lineage: Bacteria
Description: bacterial SSU rRNA
Rfam family: Bacterial small subunit ribosomal RNA
Source: RNAcentral